GAGUGGAAAUGAUAUGACUGAACAUUCAUUGCUUUUACUUUCCAGGGCAGUAACAGAAAAUUAUGGGGAGAAAUGACAUCUUUGGAAAGCUUUACACUACAACAGAUACUUCAGAUAUUAAUUUGUUCCCUUGCAACAGCCACUUAAAUAUGAGGUCCUGAACCUCUAACCCCAGUGAAUGUGAAGGGCUGACAGUUCAACAUAUUGGAUUACAACUCCUGCUAUUCCACAUCAAUUGCUAGACUAAGCUUGAUGGGAUUUGCUAUCCAACAUCUGGAAGAGGGGGAGCUGUCCACUCCUACUGUGUUCAAUGAUCUUGUGGUCCUCCAGAUUUUUUGGACUUCCAUGUCUAUCAGCCCCAGUCAACAAGGCCAAUAGUAAGUAAUCAUGAGUGAGCAAACUCUUCAGCCAGCACAGAACAUUUUAUCUUCCAUCCUCGAAGCCAAGAAAGAACAGUGGAUAAAGCUGAUAACAGAAGUAGAUAUGGGCAGGAGUAGUCUGAGGCAUGGAAGCUGCUAAGACAGCUGAGCAGUGAUCCCUCACAAUCUAAUAACCAUGCCAACAUAAGCAUACUUAUGAAGAAUGGGAAACCCAACCUUGCCACCAAACUAGGAAGGAAACCAAUAGCCAAACAACCAGAUAGUGAAAGCAACAACUUUCAUGAAUCUUUUACAUCUGCUGAAUUGGAAAUAGCUCUCAAUAAAUGUAAAAAUGACAAAGCAGCUGGCCUGGGUGAUCUACGGAUGAAACAAAUUAAGAACUUUGGGCCAAAAGCAAGGUGCAGUCUGCUGAAGCUGAUGAACACCACUGGAGAAAUUAUAGUGUUUAGCCAGUAUUGCACCAUCUGACAUUUGCUGAGAAGUACCAGCCAACAACGAAAGGACCAACGCAGUGACAUCUCCAGCCCAUCCACUGUCCAGAUAUUAGCCAGCACACCACUACCUUAAAUCAAGAAAUUUCUUUCUAAGGUCUACAGAGAUACUUGUAGGAACACCUCAGCAAGCGAGUCCAAAAGUGGCAGGCUAAGGCCCAGAACCUCAAUCUAUGGCUGAUACCAAAUGAGAGACUCCCUCCUGGGCACACAGAAGACUAGGUGACUUGGAAGGCACUGAACAGACUGGGCUCUGGCACCAACCUUAAGAAAUGGGGCUACAAAGUGGAGUCCACAACAUGCAAGUGUGGAGGAGAGCAAACCACAGGCCACCUACUACAAUGCAUCCGAACCCUGCCACAUGCACAAUGGAGGACCUUCUCACAGUGACACCAGAGGCACUCUAAGUGGCCAGCUACUGGUUAAAGGACAUUUAGUAUAAUGCUCAGUUUUUAACUUUGUUUGUGUUUUAAAUACAUUUUAACUGUACCCUCAAUUUGCUUCUGAUACAAUAAAUAAAAAUAAAUGGCAA
Anolis sagrei ordinatus is the source of this 1403-nucleotide non-coding RNA. The record is from RefSeq and is a predicted model, not a curated record. NCBI's taxonomy places the organism in Eukaryota, Metazoa, Chordata, Lepidosauria, Squamata, Anolidae.